RNAcentral lists this ribosomal RNA (731 nucleotides) under Escherichia coli. RNAcentral describes it as "partial 23S ribosomal RNA". It matches the Rfam family "Bacterial large subunit ribosomal RNA", at positions 436 to 1165 of the family's 2925-position model. Lineage: Bacteria; Pseudomonadati; Pseudomonadota; Gammaproteobacteria; Enterobacterales; Enterobacteriaceae. The record is from RNAcentral.
GUCUGAAUAUGGGGGGACCAUCCUCCAAGGCUAAAUACUCCUGACUGACCGAUAGUGAACCAGUACCGUGAGGGAAAGGCGAAAAGAACCCCGGCGAGGGGAGUGAAAAAGAACCUGAAACCGUGUACGUACAAGCAGUGGGAGCACAGAGCAAUCUGUGUGACUGCGUACCUUUUGUAUAAUGGGUCAGCGACUUAUAUUCUGUAGCAAGGUUAACCGAAUAGGGGAGCCGAAGGGAAACCGAGUCUUAACUGGGCGUUAAGUUGCAGGGUAUAGACCCGAAACCCGGUGAUCUAGCCAUGGGCAGGUUGAAGGUUGGGUAACACUAACUGGAGGACCGAACCGACUAAUGUUGAAAAAUUAGCGGAUGACUUGUGGCUGGGGGUGAAAGGCCAAUCAAACCGGGAGAUAGCUGGUUCUCCCCGAAAGCUAUUUAGGUAGCGCCUCGUGAAUUCAUCUCCGGGGGUAGAGCACUGUUUCGGCAAGGGGGUCAUCCCGACUUACCAACCCGAUGCAAACUGCGAAUACCGGAGAAUGUUAUCACGGGAGACACACGGCGGGUGCUAACGUCCGUCGUGAAGAGGGAAACAACCCAGACCGCCAGCUAAGGUCCCAAAGUCAUGGUUAAGUGGGAAACGAUGUGGGAAGGCCCAGACAGCCAGGAUGUUGGCUUAGAAGCAGCCAUCAUUUAAAGAAAGCGUAAUAGCUCACUGGUCGAGUCGGCCUGCGCG